This 490-nucleotide ribosomal RNA is filed under the name uncultured bacterium. Its description in RNAcentral is "partial 16S ribosomal RNA". It matches the Rfam family "Bacterial small subunit ribosomal RNA", at positions 28 to 507 of the family's 1533-position model. The record is from RNAcentral.
GAUGAACGCUCGCUACAGGCUUAACACAUGCAAGUCGAGGGGAAACGUUGAGAGAGCUUGCUCUCUUAGGCGUCGACCGGCGCACGGGUGAGUAACGCGUAUCCAACCUACCCAUUACAGGGGGAUAACCUUGCGAAAGUAAGACUAAUACCCCAUGGCAUUUUAUGGUGGCAUCAUUAUAGGAUUAAAGAUUUAUUGGUAAUGGAUGGGGAUGCGUCUGAUUAGCUUGUUGGCGGGGUAACGGCCCACCAAGGCAACGAUCAGUAGGGGUUCUGAGAGGAAGGUCCACCACAUUGGAACUGCGACACGGUCCAAACUCCUACGGGAGGCAGCAGUGAGGAAUAUUGGUCAAUGGGCGAGAGCUUGAACCAGCCAAGUAGCGUGCAGGAUGACGGCCCUAUGGGUUGUAAUCUGCUUUUAUAGGGGAAUAAAGUGAGCUACGUGUAGUUUAUUGCAUGUACCCUAUGAAUAAGGACCGGCUAAUUCCGUG